AGUGAACGCUGGCGGUAGGCCUAACACAUGCAAGUCGAACGGCAGCACAGGAGAGCUUGCUCUCUGGGUGGCGAGUGGCGGACGGGUGAGGAAUACAUCGGAAUCUACUUUUUCGUGGGGGAUAACGUAGGGGAACUUACGCUAAUACCGCAUACGACCUACGGGUGAAAGCAGGGGACCUUCGGGCCUUGCGCGAUUGAAUGAGCCGAUGUCGGAUUAGCUAGUUGGCGGGGUAAAGGCCCACCAAGGCGACGAUCCGUAGCUGGUCUGAGAGGAUGAUCAGCCACACGGGAGCUGAGACACGGUCCAGACUCCUACGGGAGGCAGCAGUGGGGAAUAUUGGACAAUGGGCGCAAGCCUGAUCCAGCCAUACCGCGUGGGUGAAGAAGGCCUUCGGGUUGUUAAGCCCUUUUGUUGGGAAAGAAAUCCAGCUGGCUAAUACCCGGUUGGGAUGACGGUACCCAAAGAAUAAGCACCGGCUAACUUCGUGCCAGCAGCCGCCGUAA
RNAcentral lists this ribosomal RNA (506 nucleotides) under uncultured bacterium. RNAcentral's name for it is "partial 16S ribosomal RNA". It matches the Rfam family "Bacterial small subunit ribosomal RNA", at positions 29 to 523 of the family's 1533-position model. The record is from RNAcentral.